Molecule: ribosomal RNA, 703 nt
Filed under: uncultured marine bacterium
Lineage: Bacteria
Description: bacterial SSU rRNA
Rfam family: Bacterial small subunit ribosomal RNA
Source: RNAcentral
AGUGGCAGACGGGUGAGUAACAUGUAGGUAUCUGCCCUUUGGCCUGGAAUAACACGAGGAAACUUGUGCUAAUACCGGAUAAGUCUUUACGGAGAAAGCUUUAUGCACCAUUGGAUGAGCCUGCACUUGAUUAGUUUGUUGGUGGGGUAAUGGCCUACCAAGACUGUGAUCAAUAGCUGAUUUGAGAGGAUGAUCAGCCACAUUGGGACUGAGACACGGCCCAAACUCCUACGGGAGGCAGCAGUGGGGAAUCUUGCACAAUGGAGGAAACUCUGAUGCAGCGAUGCCGCGUGAGUGAAGAAGGCCCUUGGGUUGUAAAGCUCUUUCGUCGGGGAAGAAAAUGACUGUACCCGAAUAAGAAGGUCCGGCUAACUUCGUGCCAGCAGCCGCGGUAAUACGAAGGGACCUAGCGUAGUUCGGAAUUACUGGGCUUAAAGAGUUCGUAGGUGGUUGAAAAAGUUGGUGGUGAAAUCCCAGAGCUUAACUCUGGAACUGCCAUCAAAACUUUUCAGCUAGAGUAUGAUAGAGGAAAGCAGAAUUUCUAGUGUAGAGGUGAAAUUCGUAGAUAUUAGAAAGAAUACCAAUUGCGAAGGCAGCUUUCUGGAUCAUUACUGACACUGAGGAACGAAAGCAUGGGUAGCGAAGAGGAUUAGAUACCCUCGUAGUCCAUGCCGUAAACGAUGUGUGUUAGACGUUGGAAAUU